This 493-nucleotide ribosomal RNA is filed under the name uncultured bacterium. RNAcentral's name for it is "partial 16S ribosomal RNA". It matches the Rfam family "Bacterial small subunit ribosomal RNA", at positions 29 to 507 of the family's 1533-position model. The record is from RNAcentral.
ACGAACGCUGGCGGCGUGCUUAACACAUGCAAGUCGAACGGUGAAGCGCCUUCCUUUUUGGUGGGUGUGGAUGAGUGGCGAACGGGUGAGUAACACGUGAGUAACCUGCCCCCUUCUUCUGGAUAACCGCAUGAAAGUGUAGCUAAUACGGGAUAUUCUGGGUCUGUCGCAUGAUGGGUCUGGGAAAGAUAUUGUUUCGGUGGGGGAUGGGCUCGCGGCCUAUCAGCUUGUUGGUGGGGUGAUGGCCUACCAAGGCGGUGACGGGUAGCCGGCCUGAGAGGGUGGACGGUCACACUGGGACUGAGACACGGCCCAGACUCCUACGGGAGGCAGCAGUGGGGAAUAUUGCACAAUGGGCGCAAGCCUGAUGCAGCGACGCCGCGUGAGGGAUGGAGGCCUUCGGGUUGUGAACCUCUUUCGCCAGUGAAGCAGGCCUGCCUCGUUUGUGGGUGGGUUGACGGUAGCUGGAUAAGAAGCGCCGGCUAACUACGUG